The sequence is a small nucleolar RNA, 189 nucleotides long. It matches the Rfam family "Small nucleolar RNA snR32".
AACAUCAUUUUAUAUCGCUCACACUGGCCCUAUAUUCUAUAUUCAGCGGAGAAAGACCACGUUCGAGUUUCUCCAGGUUUUUGCGGGGCCGGUAAGAAGCGUAGACCAAAUUAUAGAGCGUUGCUGGGCGCCUGGUGUUGAUUUUCUUCGGAAAAUAGGAGACACUGGGAAUCAGCUGUUUCUACAUGA